GAAAACAAUUUAUUGUAGCAAUAAUCAACUUGCAUACGAAGGCAAAACAAGCAUGACUUCAAAACUUUGAACACAUAGAGAGGAAACUUGAUAUUAUUGCAAUUCCUACAAGCAUAUGUUCCUCCCUCAUAAUAAUUUUCAUUAGCAUCAUGAAGGAAUUCAACAAUAUAACUAUCACAUACAAAAUUAUUUUCAUGAUGCAAAAGCAUAGAAUUUUUAUUACUCUCCCCAUAAGCAAAAUUCUUAGCAUUCAUGGUAGUGGGAACAAACUCAACAAAAUAACUAUCAUGAGAUACUUGAUUGAUAUAAUCCAUGUGAAAAAUAAAAUCAUGAUGACAAGUUUACUGAUAUAAUCCAUGGAAAAUUUAUUACUCUCCCCAUAAGCAAAUUUAUUCUCAUUCAUAAUAGCAGGAGAAAACUCAACAAAAUAAUUAUCAUGUGAUACUUGAG
This 450-nucleotide long non-coding RNA is filed under the name Hordeum vulgare. RNAcentral's name for it is "long non-coding RNA (HVUL_LNC007115)". The record is from RNAcentral. Lineage: Eukaryota; Viridiplantae; Streptophyta; Magnoliopsida; Poales; Poaceae.